Molecule: ribosomal RNA, 253 nt
Filed under: uncultured bacterium
Lineage: Bacteria
Description: partial 16S ribosomal RNA
Rfam family: Bacterial small subunit ribosomal RNA
Source: RNAcentral
UACGGAGGGUGCAAGCGUUAUCCGGAUCCACUGGGUUUAAAGGGUGCGUAGGUGGGCUAGUAAGUCAGUGGUGAAAUCUCCGAGCUUAACUUGGAAACUGCCAUUGAUACUAUUAAUCUUGAAUAUUGUGGAGGUCAGCGGAAUAUGUCAUGUAGCGGUGAAAUGCUUAGAGAUGACAUAGAACACCAAUUGCGAAGGCAGCUGGCUACGCAUAUAUUGACACUGAGGCUCGAAAGCGUGGGGAUCAAACAGG